UACGAAGGGGGCUAGCGUUGUUCGGAAUCACUGGGCGUAAAGCGCACGUAGGCGGAUUUUUAAGUCAGGGGUGAAAUCCCGGGGCUCAACCUCGGAACUGCCUUUGAUACUGAGGAUCUGGAGUCCGGGAGAGGUGAGCGGAACUGCGAGUGUAGAGGUGAAAUUCGUAGAUAUUCGCAAGAACACCAGUGGCGAAGGCGGCUCACUGGCCCGGAACUGACGCUGAGGUGCGAAAGCGUGGGGAGCAAACAGG
Molecule: ribosomal RNA, 253 nt
Filed under: uncultured bacterium
Lineage: Bacteria
Description: partial 16S ribosomal RNA
Rfam family: Bacterial small subunit ribosomal RNA
Source: RNAcentral